AAUAAACUGUCUGAUGUUUAAUAUUAUAAAAAAUAACCUUUCUAUUAAUUACUCAGUGUGGUGGAUUUGUUCGAAAUUAAAAAACCGUCGUUCACUUUUUUAUUGCUUAUUAAAAAAACCUUCUUUAUUUAUUAAUUAGCCAUUGAUUUCAUACAAAAAUGAGCUCUCCUGUUGUAUAUAAAACCGGCAACGCAUCUCCAAUUCUCCAUACACCACCUAUUUUCACAUAUUUCUCUCUUCUCUUCUCUCACUUCCUUCUUGAAAAUGGAGAUAUCAGUUACAUUCAUCGUCUUCUCCUUUGUUUUUUUGCGGUCAUUUUAGCUUCUGCGUGGUCUUUUCUGGAUUGGAUUUGGUUGAAGCCGAAGAAGCUGGAGAUGUUGCUGAGACAACAAGGUUUCUCCGGCAACUCAUACAAACUUCUUCACGGUGACACAAAGGAGAUGUUCACGAUGACAAAACAAGCAGAAAGCGAACCCAUCAACCCCCUCUCCCACGAUAUUGCGCCGCGAAUCAUUCCAUUCCACCAUCAUAUCAUUAUGAACUACGGAAAGAAUUCAUUCAUAUGGUUAGGUCCAGCACCAAGCAUAAAUAUCACGGACCCCAAAUUGAUAAGAGAAAUUAUGUUAAGGUAUGAAAUAUUUCAAAAACCCAAGAGGAACCCACUUAAUAGGUGGUUUUCAGUGGGAUGCUGGUGUAUGAGGGUGAACAAUGGUUCAGAGUCAGAAAGAUAGCCAAUCCAGCUUUCCAUCUCGAUAAGUUGAAGGUUUUUUCAUCUUUCUAUACUUUAAAAGAACAUGCAAUUUAUACAUAAUUGCCCAUUGAAAGAUACACAAUUAGUGAAUCAAAUUUCUAUGCACUCAUUUAUUGAUAUAAUUAACUACUAUUUCUUUUUCUUUAUAGGAUAUUAACUUCAAAUUUAUCUUCUUUUUCUUAUUCUUUAUUGGAUAUGUUACCUAAAAUGUAUUUGAGUUGCAAUGACAUGGUGAGAAAAUGGAAGAGAUCAAUCUCAAACAAUUUCAUGUGUGAUAGAUGUGUGGCCUGACAUUAAGGCUUUAACUUCAGAUGUGAUUUCUCGAAUGGCAUUUGGGAGUAGUUAUGAAGAUGGAAGAAAAAUAUUUGAACUCAUACCCAACAAAUUUAUCUGUUGAAUCAAGUUUUCUACACCUACCAUAUCUCGGGAUGGAGGUUUUUGCCCACUAAGGCAAAUAGAAAACUGAAAAGUAGUCACAAAGAAAUUCAAGAAUUGAUAAAAGGCAUCAUACAGAAAAGAGAGGAGGCCCUAAAACUUGGAGAAGCAAGUAAUGAUCAU
Molecule: long non-coding RNA, 1309 nt
Organism: Pistacia vera
Lineage: Eukaryota; Viridiplantae; Streptophyta; Magnoliopsida; Sapindales; Anacardiaceae
Exons: 3
Source: RefSeq, a predicted model, not a curated record